RNAcentral lists this ribosomal RNA (490 nucleotides) under uncultured bacterium. Its description in RNAcentral is "bacterial SSU rRNA". It matches the Rfam family "Bacterial small subunit ribosomal RNA", at positions 20 to 507 of the family's 1533-position model. The record is from RNAcentral.
UGGCUCAGGAUGAACGCUAGCGGCAGGCCUAAUACAUGCAAGUCGAGCGGCAAGUUGAGUAGUAAUACUUGACCUAGAGCGGCGCACGGGUGCGUAACGCGUAUGCAACCUACCUUUUACUGGGGGAUAGCCCGGAGAAAUCUGGAUUAACUACCCCAUGGUAUCUACGAAUCGAAUGUUUUGUAGCUUAAAGAUUUAUCGGUAAAAGAUGGGCAUGCGUCUGAUUAGCUAGUUGGCGGGUAACGCCACCAAGGCGACGAUCAGUAGGGGUUCUGAGAGGAAGGUCCCCCACAUUGGUACUGAGACACGGACCAAACUCCUACGGGAGGCAGCAGUGAGGAAUAUUGGUCAAUGGGCGAGAGCCUGAACCAGCCAAGUAGCGUGAAGGAUGAAGGUCCUAUGGAUUGUAAACUUCUUUUAUAGUAGAAUAAAGUGAGCCACGUGUGGUUUUUUGUAUGUAUACUAUGAAUAAGGAUCGGCUAACUCCGUG